UACAGAGGUCUCAAGCGUUGUUCGGAUUCAUUGGGCGUAAAGGGCGCGUAGGCGGCCAUGCGUGUCUUCCGUGAAAUCCCUCGGCUUAACUGAGGACGUGCGGAAGAAACUGCAAGGCUCGAGUCCGGGAGAGGGGGGUGGAAUUCCCAGUGUAGCGGUGAAAUGCGUAGAUAUUGGGAGGAACACCGGUGGCGAAGGCGGCCCCCUGGACCGGUACUGACGCUGAGGCGCGAAAGCGUGGGUAGCAAACGGG
RNAcentral lists this ribosomal RNA (253 nucleotides) under uncultured bacterium. RNAcentral's name for it is "partial 16S ribosomal RNA". It matches the Rfam family "Bacterial small subunit ribosomal RNA", at positions 524 to 776 of the family's 1533-position model. The record is from RNAcentral.